RNAcentral lists this ribosomal RNA (465 nucleotides) under Vreelandella stevensii. Its description in RNAcentral is "partial 16S ribosomal RNA". It matches the Rfam family "Bacterial small subunit ribosomal RNA", at positions 338 to 795 of the family's 1533-position model. Lineage: Bacteria; Pseudomonadati; Pseudomonadota; Gammaproteobacteria; Oceanospirillales; Halomonadaceae. The record is from RNAcentral.
CCUACGGUGGGCUGCAGUGGGGAAUAUUGGACAAUGGGCGAAAGCCUGAUCCAGCCAUGCCGCGUGUGUGAAGAAGGCCUUCGGGUUGUAAAGCACUUUCAGUGGGGAAGACAGCCUUGGGGCUAAUACCCUCGAGGAAGGACAUCACCCACAGAAGAAGCACCGGCUAACUCCGUGCCAGCAGCCGCGGUAAUACGGAGGGUGCGAGCGUUAAUCGGAAUUACUGGGCGUAAAGCGCGCGUAGGCGGUCUGAUAAGCCGGUUGUGAAAGCCCCGGGCUCAACCUGGGAACGGCAUCCGGAACUGUCAGGCUAGAGUGCAGGAGAGGAAGGUAGAAUUCCCGGUGUAGCGGUGAAAUGCGUAGAGAUCGGGAGGAAUACCAGUGGCGAAGGCGGCCUUCUGGACUGACACUGACGCUGAGGUGCGAAAGCGUGGGUAGCAAACAGGAUUAGAUACCCUUGUAGUC